AAUAGAUCCCGGGUAGUCCACGCCGUAAACGAUGAGUGCUAAGUGUUAGGGGGUUUCCGCCCCUUAGUGCUGCAGCUAACGCAUUAAGCACUCCGCCUGGGGAGUACGGUCGCAAGACUGAAACUCAAAGGAAUUGACGGGGGCCCGCACAAGCGGUGGAGCAUGUGGUUUAAUUCGAAGCAACGCGAAGAACCUUACCAGGUCUUGACAUCCCAUUGACCGCUAUGGAGACAUAGCUUUCCCUUCGGGGACAGUGGUGACAGGUGGUGCAUGGUUGUCGUCAGCUCGUGUCGUGAGAUGUUGGGUUAAGUCCCGCAACGAGCGCAACCCUUGUUCUUAGUUGCCAUCAUUUAGUUGGGCACUCUAAGGAGACUGCCGGUGACAAACCGGAGGAAGGUGGGGAUGACGUCAAAUCAUCAUGCCCCUUAUGACCUGGGCUACACACGUGCUACAAUGGACGGUACAAACGGUUGCCAACCCGCGAGGGGGAGCUAAUCCGAUAAAACCGUUCUCAGUUCGGAUUGUAGGCUGCAACUCGCCUAC
This 543-nucleotide ribosomal RNA is filed under the name uncultured bacterium. RNAcentral's name for it is "bacterial SSU rRNA". It matches the Rfam family "Bacterial small subunit ribosomal RNA", at positions 777 to 1319 of the family's 1533-position model. The record is from RNAcentral.